GCCCGGGUGGCGGAAUUGGCAGACGCGCGGGACUCAAAAUCCCGUUCUGGCGACAGAGUGUGGGUUCAACCCCCACCCCGGGCACUA
This 87-nucleotide transfer RNA is filed under the name Candidatus Portnoyibacteriota bacterium. RNAcentral's name for it is "tRNA-Leu". It matches the Rfam family "tRNA". From Rfam's summary of the family: Transfer RNA (tRNA) molecules are approximately 80 nucleotides in length. Their secondary structure includes four short double-helical elements and three loops (D, anti-codon, and T loops). Further hydrogen bonds mediate the characteristic L-shaped molecular structure. tRNAs have two regions of fundamental functional importance: the anti-codon, which is responsible for specific mRNA codon recognition, and the 3' end, to which the tRNAs corresponding amino acid is attached (by aminoacyl-tRNA synthetases). tRNAs cope with the degeneracy of the genetic code in two manners: having more than one tRNA (with a specific anti-codon) for a particular amino acid; and 'wobble' base-pairing, i.e. permitting non-standard base-pairing at the 3rd anti-codon position. Lineage: Bacteria; Candidatus Portnoyibacteriota. The record is from RNAcentral.